This 28-nucleotide small RNA is filed under the name Bombyx mori (domestic silkworm). RNAcentral describes it as "piRNA piR-bmo-1937438". The record is from RNAcentral. Lineage: Eukaryota; Metazoa; Arthropoda; Insecta; Lepidoptera; Bombycidae.
UGAGAAAGCGGUUUUAGAAGCAUCUUGA